RNAcentral lists this unclassified non-coding RNA (257 nucleotides) under uncultured Bionectriaceae. RNAcentral describes it as "sequence contains ITS2". The stretch from base 1 to 52 matches the Rfam family "5.8S ribosomal RNA", at positions 103 to 154 of the family's 154-position model. The record is from RNAcentral. Lineage: Eukaryota; Fungi; Ascomycota; Sordariomycetes; Hypocreales.
AACGCACAUUGCGCCCGCCAGUAUUCUGGCGGGCAUGCCUGUCUGAGCGUCAUUUCAACCCUCAUGCCCUAGCGGCGUGGUGUUGGGGCUCGGCCUGAACUUGCUUCGGGCCGUCCCCUAAAUCUAGUGGCGGACCCGCUGUGGCCUCCUCUGCGUAGUAGUAAUAUUUCGCAUGUGGAGAGCGGCGAGACCCUGCCGUAAAACCCCAACUUCUCAAGGUUGACCUCAGAUCAGGUAGGAAUACCCGCUGAACUUAA